Molecule: long non-coding RNA, 290 nt
Filed under: Salvia miltiorrhiza (redroot sage)
Lineage: Eukaryota; Viridiplantae; Streptophyta; Magnoliopsida; Lamiales; Lamiaceae
Description: long non-coding RNA (SMIL_LNC013181)
Source: RNAcentral
GAAUUUUCAGUUUAUUUAUUUAUUUAUUUUCUGAAUUUCAAGUUUAUUUAUUUUUGAAUUUUCAGUUUAUUUAUUUAUUUAUUUAUUUUCGAAUUUUCAGUUUAUUUAUUUUAUUUAUUUAUUUUUUCUGAAUUUUCAGUUAAUUUAUUUCCAGUUUAUUUAUUUAUUUCCAUUUUAUUUAUUUAUUUUCUGAAUUUCAAGUUUAGUUAUUUAUUUAUUUUUGAAUUUUCAGUUUAUUUAUUUUCCAGUUUAUUUAUUUAUUUAUUUAUUUCCAGUUUAUUUAUUUAUUU